Alosa alosa (allis shad) is the source of this 209-nucleotide long non-coding RNA. RefSeq lists it as uncharacterized. The record is from RefSeq and is a predicted model, not a curated record. The transcript has 3 exons. Lineage: Eukaryota; Metazoa; Chordata; Actinopteri; Clupeiformes; Clupeidae.
GUCCUACUAGUUAUAUGUUCUGGCUGAAGCACUCUGCUAAUUAAAUCAGCUGGUUUAAGUGAAUGGUUGGAACAGAUAUGUGGUUCUGUGGAUUGUCUCACUCCGAUUAAUUGAUUUCUUUUCCCACAAUCUGGAGCAAAGACGGUAUAUUGCACGAGAUGGAGGUGUGCCUUAAUGAUAACAUUGCCUCCAUGGAUGAUCACCUGAUG